CAAAAAAGAGGUAAAUUUAACUCCUUCCGCCCCCUAGAGCCCUUUUAGAGCCAGGAAAAUGAGUAUGUUUUCCUGGCACUAUAGUGGUCCUUUAAAUAGUUUUACUGGGUGAGUUUAUAUUAUUAAAGGGACACUCCAGGCUCCCACACGCGUUAGGUGCACUGUGUAGGUUAGGUUACAGUUAGUUAUACUGGGUGGGUUUAUAUUAUUAAAGGGACACUCCAGGCUCCCACACGCAUUAGGUGCACUGUGUAGGUUAGGUUACAGUUAGUUAUACUGAGUGGGUUUAUAUUAUAUUAUUAUGGACAUUACAAUCUAACCACGGUCUGUAGAAUACUCAGGGAACUCAGCUGCUCACACUGGAGAAUCUUUUAAACCUAGAAUGCUUUAUUGGUCAUUUCUAUUAGGUCUCACAACUUAAAAACCUGCAAAAUAAAUCAAUUAUUUACCUAAAAAGGGUCGGGCAAAGGUGUCCUCACUGGUUUCAACUCCCUGUCCAACGUCACCCCUCCCUUAUGAGCUCCAAUUAAAUGCUUGUAAAAAAAAAUAACUAAAUAAAUAAACAGAGGGAUUGUUAGAAAUCAUGGGAGUUGGAGAUGGCAAAGUGGGCCUUAAAUGAGAGAGGGAUGGGAGAUAGAAGUGCAUUACAUGCUAGGGGGAAAUCUGAUAACGUCCGUCUCCAGCGCACAGUGGAUGUUAACGAUAGAUGUGCUUUAUGCACAUAUUUACAUGCGCACACACAGAGACCUUCCACCAUAACCACUUCUAAAAGCAAACGUGGUCAUGGUGGUUGGAG
Molecule: non-coding RNA, 796 nt
Organism: Pelobates cultripes (western spadefoot toad)
Lineage: Eukaryota; Metazoa; Chordata; Amphibia; Anura; Pelobatidae
Source: the annotation of a GenBank genome assembly